Molecule: ribosomal RNA, 310 nt
Filed under: uncultured bacterium
Lineage: Bacteria
Description: bacterial SSU rRNA
Rfam family: Bacterial small subunit ribosomal RNA
Source: RNAcentral
AGCGAACGCUGGCGGCAGGCCUAACACAUGCAAGUCGAACGAACUCUUCGGAGUUAGUGGCGGACGGGUGAGUAACACGUGGAACGUGCCUUUAUGUUCGGAAUAACUCAGGGAAACUUGUGCUAAUACCGAAUGUGCCCUUCGGGGAAAGAUUUAUCGCCUUUAGAGCGGCCCGCGUCUGAUUAGCUAGUUGGUGAGGUAAAGGCUCACCAAGGCGACGAUCAGUAGCUGGUCUGAGAGGAUGAUCAGCCACAUUGGGACUGAGACACGGCCCAAACUCCUACGGGAGGCAGCAGUGGGAAUCUUGCGC